GUACCCUUGGAUACCGAGAGGCCGCCUGAGUCCUGACUGUGGGGAGAGAAAGACCAUGGGGAGUGGAAUGAGCAAGGUGGUUAAAGGCCUCUAUCUCGGGAACAUCCGGGGUAAGUGCGUUUCUCUGCUCCACCUCCUUCACGCACGCUGCAUUUGCUCUGCGCGAGUCACCGGUGCAGCGGGUGCCGGAGGGCCCCUCUCCUCCCCAGGCUGGGAUCUCGGUCAUUUCAAGAUCCUCCGAUCCUGGAAAUCAAUGUUUUGAAAACUGCAGCUGGCACUAUGGAAAAGGGUGUUUCCACGUCCCUUUUUCAGCCCUCCCUUCACGCCUUGCAGAAAAUCCUGUUUCUUUGGGAGGCUCCCUGCGGCUGCUCCCGCUUGGGGACCUCGGGGCCUUCCGGAGAACCAAAACACUGGAACAGCCCCAUCCCAACUGCAAGUCCAGGGUGUCCCCAUGUAAACAGGAGCAGUGCUGGCCCUGGGGAGGGGCUGUCCUCGGGGACCGGCAGUCACCGAAUGUGCCUGGGCGCUCAGGGCCCGAUCUCCUGGCUGCAAACCUCCCUGUGUUUGCUGAGAUAAUGUUUACAGCCAGGGCCAAAGCUGGGCUUUCCUGGUCCAGCGUCCAGGCCUCCAGCUCCAUGCGGCCGGGUUUCACCUACGCAGCAGGACACAACUGCCUUUUUCAAGUUAGCAGGUUCGCUUCUGAUUUCAGUGGUGGUUUUAGGAGCUGCCUUGCCUGCCGACCGUCCAGUGGUGGUCGUUGCUUUGAAGGAGGUGCCUUGCAGUGCCUCUGGGCUGACAAAUGCUCUACGAACUCUGGGGAGAGAAAAUCAUCCUGCCCCAGCUGAAGAAAUGCCUUUUUAUUCUGAUGAGCAAAUUUCCCUUGCUGGAGCUUGCCUUGUUGCCUGGUGUUUUAGUGUCUCUCUGGAAAGGCCGAGCGGAUACUCUGCAAGGGGGAUAUAUAUAUAUAUAUAUAUUUAACAGAUUUCUGCCAUGCUCCUCCUGCCCUCUGCAGUGAGCCACCCCUCCUUUCCCAGGGCAAGGGGGCAGGCAGGGACCCUCUCC
This 1062-nucleotide long non-coding RNA is filed under the name Struthio camelus australis. Its description in RNAcentral is "lncRNA (ENSSCUG00000012621.1)". Lineage: Eukaryota; Metazoa; Chordata; Aves; Struthioniformes; Struthionidae. The record is from RNAcentral.